Molecule: ribosomal RNA, 520 nt
Filed under: uncultured Glomus
Lineage: Eukaryota; Fungi; Glomeromycota; Glomeromycetes; Glomerales; Glomeraceae
Description: SSU rRNA
Rfam family: Eukaryotic small subunit ribosomal RNA
Source: RNAcentral
AGCAGCCGCGGUAAUUCCAGCUCCAAUAGCGUAUAUUAAAGUUGUUGCAGUUAAAAAGCCCGUAGUUGAAUUUCGGGAUCAAUCUGCCGGUCGUGCCUCCGGUAUGCACUGGUUUUAUUGGUUUCUCCCUUCUGACGAAUCAUGAUGUCAUUAAUUUGGUGUCAUGGGGAAUCAGGACUGUUACUUUGAAAAAAUUAGAGUGUUUAAAGCAGGCUCACGCUUGAAUACAUUAGCAUGGAAUAAUGAAAUAGGACGUUUGACCCUAUUUUGUUGGUUUCUAGGAUCGACGUAAUGAUUAAUAGGGAUAGUUGGGGGCAUUAGUAUUCAAUUGUCAGAGGUGAAAUUCUUGGAUUUAUUGAAGACUAACUACUGCGAAAGCAUUUGCCAAGGAUGUUUUCAUUAAUCAAGAACGAAAGUUAGGGGAUCGAAGACGAUCAGAUACCGUCGUAGUCUUAACCAUAAACUAUGCCGACUAGGGAUCGGAUGAUGUUAUUUUUUAAUGACUCAUUCGGCACCUUAC